This is a long non-coding RNA of Pararge aegeria (speckled wood butterfly), 561 nucleotides long. RefSeq lists it as uncharacterized. The record is from RefSeq and is a predicted model, not a curated record. The transcript has 2 exons. NCBI's taxonomy places the organism in Eukaryota, Metazoa, Arthropoda, Insecta, Lepidoptera, Nymphalidae.
CCGCGCGCACGCGUGCGCCGCGUGCCCCGCGCGCUACUGCCACAAGCAGUCGCUCAACAAGCACCUGCGCAAGCGCCACGGGGUGAAAACAUCAUAAGAAAUUGGGAGGAAAGAAAUUUUGUGAAGUGGGUUAAAAUAUAUACUUGUUGAAAAACACACUAUGAACUAUAUGAACCUUUACUAUAGCUUAAGUCGAUAUUGAAUGUUUUGCAACUGUCUUACAGUGCCGUGCAUUUCAUAUAUGCACAAAUGCACUGCCUACCCUUAAAAUUUUAUAAAACUCAAACAGGAAGAGGACUUUUUCAUUUAAUACCGUUUUGCAUCUUUAUUCCUACGCUGGUCAAUACUCUUGGGCACGCCACUGCUGUCUUAGUUUGUUCAUAAUCAUCAUUACUUCAACCGUAUGACAUCCACUGCUGGUCGUAAGUCUUUUGUACGCAAGCAGUUUGUUUCACUCAACUCAACUCGCUUGGACUUUGAAAGUUGUUGAUGUUUCAAACACGAGUUUAACUGAUCUAUCUAGUCAUGAUGUAUCAAAGAAUAAAGUUAAUUUUAAACUCA